RNAcentral lists this small nuclear RNA (24 nucleotides) under Arabidopsis thaliana (thale cress). Its description in RNAcentral is "snRNA_03607". Lineage: Eukaryota; Viridiplantae; Streptophyta; Magnoliopsida; Brassicales; Brassicaceae. The record is from RNAcentral.
ACGUGUUGAAGAAUGAUGAUCGAU